GACAGAGGUCUCGAGCGUUAGGCGGAAUCACUGGGCUUAAAGCGUGUGUAGGCGGAUCGGUAAGUACCUUGUGAAAUCCCACAGCUUAACUGUGGAACUGCUUGGUAUACUGCCAGUCUUGAGCCACUUAGGGGCUACCGGAACAAAUGGUGGAGCGGUGAAAUGCGUAGAUAUCAUUUGGAACGCCAAUGGUGAAAACAGGUAGCUGGGAGUGUGCUGACGCUGAGACACGAAAGCCAGGGGAGCGAACGGG
This 253-nucleotide ribosomal RNA is filed under the name uncultured bacterium. Its description in RNAcentral is "partial 16S ribosomal RNA". It matches the Rfam family "Bacterial small subunit ribosomal RNA", at positions 524 to 776 of the family's 1533-position model. The record is from RNAcentral.